RNAcentral lists this ribosomal RNA (497 nucleotides) under uncultured bacterium. Its description in RNAcentral is "partial 16S ribosomal RNA". It matches the Rfam family "Bacterial small subunit ribosomal RNA", at positions 28 to 507 of the family's 1533-position model. The record is from RNAcentral.
GAUGAACGCUGGCGGCGUGCCUAAUACAUGCCAGUCGAGCGAACAGACGAGGCUCUUGCUCCUCUGACGUUAGCGGCGGACGGGUGAGUAACACGUGGAUAACCUACCUAUAAGACUGGGAUAACUUCGGGAAACCGGAGCUAAUACCGGAUAAUAUAUUGAACCGCAUGGUUCAAUAGUGAAAGACGGUUUUGCUGUCACUUAUAGAUGGAUCCGCGCCGCAUUAGCUAGUUGGUAAGGUAACGGCUUACCAAGGCAACGAUGCGUGGCCGACCUGAGAGGGUGAUCGGCCACACUGGAACUGAGACACGGUCCAGACUCCUACGGGAGGCAGCAGUAGGGAAUCUUCCGCAAUGGGCGAAAGCCUGACGGAGCAACGCCGCGUGAGUGAUGAAGGUCUUCGGAUCGUAAAACUCUGUUAUUAGGGAAGAACAAAUGUGUAAGUAACUAUGCACGUCUUGACGGUACCUAAUCAGAAAGCCACGGCUAACUACGUG